UACGUAGGGGGCAAGCGUUGUCCGGAUUUAUUGGGCGUAAAGAGCGUGUAGGCGGCCAGGUAGGUCUGCUGUGAAAACUCGAGGCUCAACCUCGAGACGCCGAUGGAAACCAUCUGACUAGAGUCCGGAAGAGGAGAGUGGAAUUCCUGGUGUAGCGGUGAAAUGCGCAGAUAUCAGGAAGAACACCCGUGGCUAAGGCGGCUCUCUAGUACGGUACUGACGCUGAGACGCGAAAGCGUGGGGAGCGAACAGG
This 253-nucleotide ribosomal RNA is filed under the name uncultured bacterium. RNAcentral describes it as "partial 16S ribosomal RNA". It matches the Rfam family "Bacterial small subunit ribosomal RNA", at positions 524 to 776 of the family's 1533-position model. The record is from RNAcentral.